This is a long non-coding RNA of Tympanuchus pallidicinctus (lesser prairie-chicken), 1854 nucleotides long. RefSeq lists it as uncharacterized. The transcript has 2 exons. The record is from RefSeq and is a predicted model, not a curated record. NCBI's taxonomy places the organism in Eukaryota, Metazoa, Chordata, Aves, Galliformes, Phasianidae.
UGAGUGGUGCCGCAGCUCACGUGAUCGCUGGCUGCGCUGCCUUUGGUGCCGGCCUGGCGCGCGGCACGGCUUCAGCUCCCGGAGCCCGGCCAUUCCGUUUCAUCUCAUUAAUUAUCCCCGAUUUAUGCUGAAAUUUGGACGAGGCGAUUUUUCACUUCCCAGCUCCCAGCGCUUUGGCUUUGGGGAUGCAGGUGCUGGGGCGGAUCUCAAAGGAGUGGCUGCCUGUGGGAGAAGGAGCAAAGCAGCACGUUUCCUUGGUGGUCCGUGAUUUCUGAUGACACCAAACUGCCUGGUGUGACUGAUGGAAGGAAGGGAUGCCAUUCUGAGGGACCUGGGGAGGGCUGAGAGUGGUGUGUUGUGAACUGCCUGUGAUUCAACCAGGCCUGGUGCGUAGUGCUGCACCUUGGUCAGGGCAAUCCCAAGCACAGAGGCAGGCUGGGCAGUGGGUGGAUUGAGAGCAACCAUGAGAAGGACUUGGGGCUCUUGGUUUAAAUACUGAACACAAGCUGGCACUAUGCUCAGAGUUUGGAGCACUCCGUAGCACCUCUGCUAUGGAGGCAGGUUGAGAGUUGGGGGUGUUCAGCCUGGGGAAGAGAAGAGUCUGGGUAGACCUCAUUGUGGCCUUCCAGUUCAUUAAAGGGCUGCAGAACAGGGAGGGACUCUUUGUCAGGGAGUUAAGUGAUAGGACAAGGGGGAACAGCUCUAAGCUAUCAGACUGCAUGUUUAGAUCAGACAUCAGGAAUAAAUUCUUCCUUAUGAGGGCGGUGAGGCACUGGCACUGCUGCCCAGAGCUGCGGUGCUCCAUCCCCAUGGUGCCCAGGGCCAUGGAUAGGGUUGUGGCCAUGGAUGGGGCUGGCUUGUCUUUAAGCUGCCAUCCAUCCCACACCAUUCCACGAUUCUAAAAGUUAUCAAAUAUCCUGUUUCAGUAGCACAGCUCUGUUUUCUGCUUUAUUUAUUUUUUCCCGUAACCAACCACCAGAUGUCCUUUGUUAGUUCGGUCCCUCAGUUUUAUCCACAAGCUCUCAACCUGCUCAUGGCUAUUUCUCAAAGGCAGCAAUGGUGAAGUUCACACUCCUGAGAGAUAUUGUACAGACAAGGAGUAAAACCAGGAAGCUUAAUUUUAGGAAAGCCAAAUUCCAGUUCUGCAUGGAAUUUGUCAACAACCCCCACUGGGAAUCUGUCCUCGAGGUCAAGGGAGCAGAGCAGAGCUGGCAGAUCUUUAAGAAAGCUUUCCUCAGGGUGCAGGAGCUCUUCAUCCCGGGGUGUAGAAAGUCAGGAAAGGAAGGCAAGAGACCUGCAUGGCUGAGCCAGGAGCUGCUUGUCAAACUUGAGAGCAAGAAGAACAUGCAUAGGAGGUAGAAGCCUGGGAGGAGUACAGGGAUGCUGUUGGGCUGUGUAGGGCUGGGGUCAGGGAGGCCAAGGCCCAACUGGACUUGGCAAGGGGUACAGAGAAGAACAAGAACAGUUUCUACAGAUGCAUCAAUCAGAAAGGAAUGUGCAAAAGGGUAUUCUCCCCCCAGUGAGCAAUGCAGGCAGGCUGGUAACAACAGACAAAGAGAAGGCUGAGGUGCUGAACAACCUUUUUGCCUCAGCCUCUGCUGGUGACUGCUCUUCACACAUCCAUCUAGCUGAUGGGACUGAAGAAGCAAUGGCUCUCCUGCUGUAAGCAAAAAACAGGUCCGUGUCCACCUGAGGAACCUGAACAUCUACAGGUCUAUUGUCCCUAUGAAAUGCAUCCCAGGGUCCUGAGGGAACUGGCAGAUGUAGUCACCAAGCCAUGCUCAGUGGUAUUUGAAAGAUUUUGGUGGCCAGUUGAAGUCCCUGGUGACUGGAAUAAAGGGCACAUCACACCCA